GACAGAGGGUGCUAGCGUUGUUCGGAAUUACUGGGCGUAAAGGGCGCGUAGGCGGCUUGUUUAGUCGGGUGUGAAAUCCCGGGGCUCAACCCCGGAACUGCAUUCGAUACUGGCAGGCUAGAGACCGGAAGAGGUGGGUGGAAUACCCAGUGUAGAGGUGAAAUGCGUAGAUAUUGGGUGGAACACCGGUGGCGAAGGCGGCUCACUGGUCCGGUUCUGACGCUGAGGCGCGAAAGCGUGGGGAGCAAACAGG
RNAcentral lists this ribosomal RNA (253 nucleotides) under uncultured bacterium. RNAcentral's name for it is "partial 16S ribosomal RNA". It matches the Rfam family "Bacterial small subunit ribosomal RNA", at positions 524 to 776 of the family's 1533-position model. The record is from RNAcentral.